CCUACGGGUGGCAGCAGUGAGGAAUAUUGGUCAAUGGACGAGAGUCUGAACCAGCCAAGUAGCGUGAAGGAUGACUGCCCUAUGGGUUGUAAACUUCUUUUAUAAAGGAAUAAAACGAGGCACGUGUGCCUUUUUGUAUGUACCUUAUGAAUAAGGAUCGGCUAACUCCGUGCCAGCAGCCGCGGUAAUACGGAGGAUCCGAGCGUUAUCCGGAUUUAUUGGGUUUAAAGGGAGCGUAGAUGGGUUGUUAAGUCAGUUGUGAAAGUUUGCGGCUCAACCGUAAAAUUGCAAUUGAUACUGGCAGUCUUGAGUACAGUUGAGGUAGGCGGAAUUCGUGGUGUAGCGGUGAAAUGCUUAGAUAUCACGAAGAACCCCGAUUGCGAAGGCAGCUUACUAAACUGUGACUGACAUUGAUGCUCGAAAGUGUGGGUAUCAAACAGGAUUAGAUACCCCUGUAGUC
This 460-nucleotide ribosomal RNA is filed under the name uncultured bacterium. Its description in RNAcentral is "partial 16S ribosomal RNA". It matches the Rfam family "Bacterial small subunit ribosomal RNA", at positions 338 to 795 of the family's 1533-position model. The record is from RNAcentral.